Molecule: ribosomal RNA, 252 nt
Filed under: uncultured bacterium
Lineage: Bacteria
Description: partial 16S ribosomal RNA
Rfam family: Bacterial small subunit ribosomal RNA
Source: RNAcentral
UACGUAGGGGGCGAGCGGUAUCCGGAUUCAUUGGGCGUAAAGCGCGCGUAGGCGGCCGCCUAAGCGGAACCUCUAACCCCGGGGCUCAACCUCGGGCCGGGUUCCGGACUGGGCGGCUCGAGUGCGGUAGAGGAGAGCGGAAUUCCCGGUGUAGCGGUGGAAUGCGCAGAUAUCGGGAAGAACACCGAUGGCGAAGGCAGCUCUCUGGGCCGUCACUGACGCUGAGGCGCGAAAGCUGGGGGAGCGAACAGG